This 426-nucleotide ribosomal RNA is filed under the name uncultured bacterium. Its description in RNAcentral is "bacterial SSU rRNA". It matches the Rfam family "Bacterial small subunit ribosomal RNA", at positions 355 to 796 of the family's 1533-position model. The record is from RNAcentral.
CAGGGAAUCUUGCGCAAUGGGCGAAAGCCUGACGCAGCAACGCCGCGUGGGUGAUGAAGGCUCUCGGGUCGUAAAGCCCUUUUCUGGGGGACGAAGAUCUGACGGUACCCCAGGAAGAAGCCACGGCUAACUACGUGCCAGCAGCCGCGGUAAUACGUAGGUGGCAAGCGUUGUCCGGAGUUAUUGGGCGUAAAGCGCGCGCAGGCGGUUCGAAAAGUCCAUGGUGAAAGCGCCCGGCUCAACUGGGCGAGUGCCGUGGGGACUGUCGAGCUGGAGGGGAGCAGAGGCGAGUGGAAUUCCGGGUGUAGUGGUGAAAUGCGUAGAGAUCCGGAGGAACACCAGUGGCGAAGGCGGCUCGCUGGGCUCUACCUGACGCUGAGGCGCGAAAGCGUGGGGAGCGAACCGGAUUAGAUACCCCCGUAGUCC